UAAUAAAAGUGUUUUAUGGCACUUUUCAAACAAAUCCAUAUCCACCUUGUGUGCAAUGUUUUUUUUUUUUAAAUAAACACUUUAUUUUUCAAUUGCCAAUUUAUCUGAAGAUCAGUAUUAUUAUGAAUUAACUUAAUUCAAAAUA
Molecule: unclassified non-coding RNA, 145 nt
Filed under: soil metagenome
Description: partial internal transcribed spacer 1
Source: RNAcentral